AUCAUAACAAGGUUUCCAAAGUAUUUCUCAUCAUUUGUAAGAUUGCUAUUUACCAAGGUCAAGUCUUUUCUAAGCUUGUCUUAAUACUCAUUUGUCCAUAGUUUUACCCCUUGUGUAAUAUUUACAGCAUUAAAUAUAACACCUUGGAUCCAUAGGCUGCGAUUACCAACGCCUGUGAACCAGGCUACACCCAAAGCUUCAUCUUUUUCACCUUUGGUCCACUUAACAUAGGCUAUGUAGGGCCUCCGGAUUAUCUAAUCUGCUGGUUUUCUGAACAGGUCUAGCUAGCUUCUUGGGUACUUUAUACUGUGUCACAAACAUGUAUGCCAUACAGAAAUGAUAUCUAAACCUACCUUGAAAAUAUGCCUAUUCCCAUUUUGAUCCAAUCUUCCAUUUUCUUGUCUGGAUGAUCUCAAAAUAAUCAGCAUGCAACCUUGGGUUUAUGAGCUGGGCAUUUGUAUAUCCUUGGCAAUGAUGGAAAGAAAGAUUGUCCAGAAUUAACAGCAGGCAUGGUGUGAAUCUUUAAUCCCAAGGACUCUUCUUUGAUAGCUCCCAAAAUUUUGGUUCUAAUGGUUCCCAGGUUUUAAAGCCUAAGCUCCUCCCCACUAAUUAGGGCCAGUCUCAUAGAAUCACAAUCUGUUUAACCUGCUGGGCAUAAUUUUGAUUGUGGAUAAUGGGAAGAAUAUGCAUGCAUUUGUUAUGAAGAUUAUUCAUGACAACUCAUCAUUAGAAUACUUCUGGUGAUGAGCAUCAGGACUCAGAAUUACUGUGUUGUUAAGCACAAAUGGGCAAAGUGUCAGUUGCCAAAGAACAACUUUCACAUAGCAAGUGGCUAAAUCCAUUCUGUCCUGCUGAUGGCCACUGUCCUGUGAUCUUUGGGUGAAGGGUGAUAUUUAAAUUUUGAUGAUGUUGAUGUUGUUGUUGUUGUUGAUAAUAAUAAUAAUAAUAAUAAUAAUAGUUUUUCUUCUCCUAUUCCCCUCCUAAACCUACCAUUUCCAUAGCAGUAUAACAGCCAGUCCCUCCUCCCAUGGAAGUCGGGGAACUUCAGCUCUGUCAGGCAAAUAAGGGUCUCCUAACAACACUCAACACCUUUAGCAAACUACAUUUCCCAGGAUUCUUUGAGGGAAGCCAUUACGGCUUUAAUUGUAUAGUGCUGAUGGCGCCUUUGUUUCAGUGUCACUAAUGAUUUAGAUAACAAAGUUCCUUAUCUCAAAUUGGGAACUAGUGCUGAUACAGUAGUGUCCACCAUCAUGACUUUGCUGGUCUAGUGUCUUGGACUGACUCAUGAUGAUGUCAGCACAUUACCACAAACUGUGACACCACAGUGACACAACUGCCCUUAGAUCUGACCCUAAACAAUUAUUUGCCAGGUAGCAACACAUAAAGAAUGACUGUCAAUUACUGGUGUGACUGCUUAGUUCUUUCCCACUUGUGUAGAUAGCACAGAAUAGCUGAGACUAUUGUAGUGGUUUUGGAAAUAGUAUAGGAAAGAAAUGCACUGUGAGAAGGAGUUUAAAAGCAGAGGGGAAAUUGGUUUGGAAACAUGAAGGCAAGAGAGUAGGAACAAAGGGAACCAACAGCAGGUAGUCUCGUACAAGUUGUUCAUCAUCAGCAGUGCUAUAUGCAAAGUAGAAAGAAUAGCUACCUUUAUUAGAGACAUACGUGCAACUGUUGUCUUUGAGAAAGGGAGACAUUUGCCAUUUUGCUCCUGUGACUAGGCAUGGAUGAUUCAGGGUGGUGGUUAGACCAGGGCUUUUUUCCAGCCAGAACAUACCAGUAGUCAGUUCUGGCACCUCUCAGGUGGGCGCCGUUGCCAUUAUAAGAGAACAAGGGAGGCAUUCAUGGUGAGUUCGGACACUUCUUUUUCUAGAAAAAUAGCACUGGGUAAGACCCCUUGAAUAAUAAAAUAAAUGGAAAAAGAAGACAGGCAGGACAAUCCUACAGAUGGCUGCUGUUAUCCCCAAUCAUCAGUGUAGGGGUUGCCAACCAUUUGGGGCAUGUGAGCACAUGUUGAAUUCUGUGCAAAUGCUGUGGAUAUACAUCCUUGGCCACUUCUAUCCACAUUCUCCUAGAACAAGUCUCACCGCUUCGCACCCCACAUUUUCUGCCAUAGCUAUAUUUUUGGGUUCGGACAGAAAUAUUUGCAGAGUGUCUCUGAGUCCAAAUAGAAGUAUAAAAUGUGUGUUGAAAGAGCAUGUGGCUUUGAGAUUUGGGGUGGAAUUUGUUUUUAAAAAUAGCUUCAUUCAUUUUUACACUUAUAUCCCCUCUUUCCUCCAAGGAGGUCAAGGUGGCACACACAUUUCUCCUCCUCUCCUUUUUGUUCUUACAAUAAUCCUGUGAGGUACAUCAUCAUAAUAAUCAAACCUUUUAUUGGCAUCACAUACAAACAUCAAAAACAAAUCAGUACAGAAUUACCACUUCCCCAGUGGCACAAAAUAUUUAGGAGGCAGAGCAGUCUAUCAUCACAUCGCUAGGUCUCCAGGGAGAUCAGAUGUCUGCAGUAUAUUUCGACGACAGAAAACCAAAUAGAGAUAUUUAGCCACUAACUUGGUGAGCUCCUGAUCAUUCCCCAGUAAUAGAAAAUGUAUGACCUCCAACUCUGGUUUCCAUUUGGGGAUACAGAGUUGAUCUAGAAACUGCUGACAGAGAUCAGCAUAUAGUUUACAAUUAAGAACCAUAUGUGUAAGGGUUUCCACCAGGUGGUCUUCACAUGGGCAAGUUCUUUCUCCUUCCACCCUGCCUGAGAACCUUCCCCAAAGGAGGUUUGAUGGAUUUGAAUUAAACCUGGCCAGCGAAAAUGCCCUUCUUUCUUGAGGGUUAAGCAGAAAUUCAAGGUAAUUGUGGUUAGUUGCAUGUGCCCAAGAAAGUUGAAAAUAAAGAGGGGAACAUGUUUUCACUGAAGAGAAACCUGUGAGGUACAUAGGUUAAGCUAAGAGACUUAAAGUCAACCAGUGAGCUUUAUGUCUGAGUGGAGAUUUGAAUCCUGGUCUCCAGGUCAACACUCUUAACCACUACAGCACACUACUUGACAUUCUCUUUGGAUGGGCUGUGUCCUACUAGCCCAAGUGGACCCUCCUCCACUGGUGACAUCAUUUAAUCUAUCUCAUGAUCUCAGCUAAACACAGCACAAACGUAUUGCUAAGACAAGCUUAUAGCACCUCCUGCAUUACAGCUAAUGCCAUAGCCCAGAGGCCAGGAGAGCCUACUGCUACAGCUAGCAGAGCAUAUGUAGAUAAGGGUUUUAAUGCACUGGCAGCCCAAAUAGCAGUAGCCUAUAAACUGCUACCCUUUCAUUUUGGAAAAUUCCCAGGGCUAUGUAGAGAAGAAAGACUACCAUUCCAGUUACAGUAGUCAGCAGGUUCAAUUGACAAUGGCUGGGAGGAACGGUACGUGUGGCAGAUCUCUCAGGAAAAUAAUUCAAGGCAGCCUUUGCUGCAUGGACAAUGGUGCCAAAGAGAUACUGACCUGGAUUUAGUUGGACUUACGAAUUAGAAGUCCCAUUCAUUUCAAUGGGAACUAACUUAGAAUGAUAUAAUCAAGGGGUUGGAAGGGACCCCAAGGGUCAUCUAGUCCAACCCCCUGCAAUGCAGGAAUCUCAUCAAACUCCUGCUUAAAAACCUCCAAUGAAGGAGAGUCCACAACCUCCGAAGGGAAUCUGUUCCACUGUUCAAACUUGCUCCAUUCAUUUCAAUGACACCUAAAUUCAAUUAACUUAAUAUUCAUCUAACUCAAUGCUAAUAGCACUUCACCCAACAUGCCUAUAUUGAUGUCUGUGUGAGAAGAACAAGUUGCUUGUUUGUUUGUUUUGCAAGGGAACCAUCUGAGAAAUCAACAAUGAACACUGCAACAAGAAGCUCAUAGGAACUAACACCCACAUGGCCCAAGCAGUGUUAGUUCCAGCCAUCCUGGAAUAGUUUUAAUCUCUAUUCAACAGAGAUGUGACCAACACCCACUAUGUAAGAUGCUGACCCACUGGUAGGUGGAUGAGAAAGAUCAUUAGCUUUCCACCCAUCUACAGAUGGAUAGUAUUUUUGGCAUGUGUUUGUUUACUGAGGACAUGUGGCAUGAGAUUACUUUGAGACAACCCAGAGCCAUUGUUGUCUGCAUGAAUACAAAGUUACUGUAAUUUUAAACUCCACUAUUCACAUUGUAUUUGCUGUAUAAAUACCGCUGUUCCUGCAUUAAUUUGCACCUAGAUAAACAUAGAUGCUGGUUCUUGAGAAUGUACCUUCCUUUGGCUCUCCUAUUUAAUGACACACGUUUAACAAAACAAGAAUUGUAAUGCUGAUACAAUCUCUUUCACGCCUUUGUAUUGGUCUAAAUGCAAUGGAAAGCAGGGCAUUUAUAAAGAAACACUUUUUGAAAAAUGAUCCAUUUGAAUCUGCUCGGAUACCUGCUGUGGAAAUAGCCUGUUUAUAUAAAUGGUGUUAUACAUCAGUAUAGAUAGCUCUCUGUCAGGGAAUAGUAAAAAUAGAUUGGCUGCAAAGUCAUCUGUGACUCAGAAAUUAGAUGGAAUAGUGGACUCUGCAAGAGCUAACUGUGCGGCAUCUGCUAGAAAGUAUUAUGUGCACGCACACUCUGCUGAACCUGUCCUGAAAGAUGUAUCAAACAUUGCACAAUUUCUUAAAAGAAUUCAUUCAUCAAGUGAAAAUGAACUAAAGUAGAUUGCCUACGGCUUUUCUUUUUAUGCAUAGUGAUUUUUAUAAAAGUAGUUUUUUGGAGAAAUAGCUUGCUGAACCUUGAUGAGAUUCUCAACCAACAUUUUAGACAUUAUCCUUAUGUAGAUAUAAGAAAACACCACAUUGACUAAGGGCUGGUUUGCACAAUAUAAAUACCACGAGGGCUGCUUUAAAUCGCUCCAUAGCUGUUACUACUUGAUGAGUUUGUCUCCUCAUGUGAUCAGGCAGCUUUUGACAAGCCCUGGCAAGUAGCCAUCAAGAAGAGUUUGUAGUGGUAUGGUAAACAUCACCUAAUCUGUUAUCAGCCCUAGAUCCUCUCCACUAUGUUGAAGAGGGCAUCAGGUUAUUGGAACAUAUCUUCACAUGUGGUGGGGACAGAAAUGGUUUUUUUUUCUGGGAGAUGAUUUAUAAUGAAUUAAAAAAGGUAUUUAAAUAUACCUUCUUGAAGAAACCAGAGGCCUUUCUCCUGGGCAUAGUCGGCCAAUCGGUGUUAAAGAAGGAUAGAACUUUCUUUAUGUAUGCUACAACAGCAGCAAGAAUACUUAUUGCAAAGUAUUGGAAGACACAAGACCUACCCACUCUGGAAGAAUGGCAGAUGAAAAUGAUGGAUUACAUGGAAUUGGCAGAAAUGACUGGCAGAAUCCGAGACCAGGGAAAAGUCGGUG
Molecule: non-coding RNA, 5344 nt
Organism: Podarcis lilfordi (Lilford's wall lizard)
Lineage: Eukaryota; Metazoa; Chordata; Lepidosauria; Squamata; Lacertidae
Source: the annotation of a GenBank genome assembly